AUUGAACGCUGGCGGCAUGCCUUACACAUGCAAGUCGAACGGUAACAGGUUAAGCUGACGAGUGGCGAGCGGGUGAGUAAUGUAUCGGAACGUGCCCAGUCGGGGGGGAUAACUGCUCGAAAGAGCAGCUAAUACCGCAUACGACCUGAGGGUGAAAGCGGGGGAUCGCAAGACCUCGCGCGAUUGGAGCGGCCGAUAUCAGAUUAGGUAGUUGGUGAGGUAAAGGCUCACCAAGCCGACGAUCUGUAGCUGGUCUGAGAGGACGACCAGCCACACUGGGACUGAGACACGGCCCAGACUCCUACGGGAGGCAGCAGUGGGGAAUUUUGGACAAUGGGCGCAAGCCUGAUCCAGCCAUGCCGCGUGCGGGAAGAAGGCCUUCGGGUUGUAAACCGCUUUUGUCAGGGAAGAAAAGGUUCUGGCUAAUACCUGGGACUCAUGACGGUACCUGAAGAAUAAGCACCGGCUAACUACGUG
Molecule: ribosomal RNA, 477 nt
Filed under: uncultured bacterium
Lineage: Bacteria
Description: partial 16S ribosomal RNA
Rfam family: Bacterial small subunit ribosomal RNA
Source: RNAcentral